This 328-nucleotide long non-coding RNA is filed under the name Carica papaya (papaya). RNAcentral's name for it is "long non-coding RNA (CPAP_LNC016468)". Lineage: Eukaryota; Viridiplantae; Streptophyta; Magnoliopsida; Brassicales; Caricaceae. The record is from RNAcentral.
AUUAAUUUGAGUCUGACUUUAGAGCUGCUAUUUAUUUUCUUCAUGCUCUUAUAUAUUUUUGUUGUUUUGAAUUUGUUUGAAUAGGGCCCAUCAUAUAAGAAGAGAAAUCAUAAGCAGCUAGCUGAACCCCUUAAAUUCGUAGUUGUUCAAGUGAUUCCAGCACCAAGUAGCGAUUAGUGCCGUAUGAGGUGGUAAGUAGCCUAGCUGACCGGUUCAUGCAGAUGAAUCAAGCAACUUGAAUCACGUCCUUCUAGCUCUCAAGGUUGUUGACAAGCUAAAUCUUUGGUAUGUUCCCAAGACUGCUUGGCAGCGAAUAACCAACUACAAA